This is a long non-coding RNA of Pecten maximus, 289 nucleotides long. RefSeq lists it as uncharacterized. The record is from RefSeq and is a predicted model, not a curated record. Lineage: Eukaryota; Metazoa; Mollusca; Bivalvia; Pectinida; Pectinidae. The transcript has 2 exons.
AGAUGGACCUCGGUCCUCUAAACAACUUGGAUGUUAUCUAUACUAUGUCCAUGUAAUACUGGUUGUAUCCAAUUAUCUUUGUGUAGUUAUAAUUAAUAUGGGGUUUACAUGUAGACUUCAGGUCACGAACCCCAUAACCAUAUUAAGUUAGGGGAAAUCUAUCUGACCGGCCGAUGCACAUCAUGAGCAUAUAAAAGAGAAGCCUUCCAUUGAAACUAUUGUCAUUCCUACCCGUCUGCGAACGGACACUACCUACACAUACCUGCACCAAUAAACAGAGGAACCUCAA